UGGGACUGGAGAAAAGGCAGGGUCCUGGCUACAGCAACUGGACACUCAGACAGGAUCUUUGAUAUUGCCUGGGAUCCGUUCCAACUUCACAGGCUAGUAAGCUGUGGGGUGAAGCAUAUCAAGUUCUGGACCUUGUGUGGGAAUGCCUUGACACCCAAGCGGGGGAUCUUUGGGAAGACCGGGGACCUGCAGACCAUUCUGUGCCUGGCUACGGCAAAGGGAGAAGUGACAUACUCUGGAGCGCUGAAUGGGGACAUUUA
This is a long non-coding RNA of Coregonus clupeaformis (lake whitefish), 260 nucleotides long. RefSeq lists it as uncharacterized. The record is from RefSeq and is a predicted model, not a curated record. The transcript has 3 exons. NCBI's taxonomy places the organism in Eukaryota, Metazoa, Chordata, Actinopteri, Salmoniformes, Salmonidae.